ACAUCCAGAGAACUUAGCAGAGAUGCUUUGGUGCCUUCGGGGAACUCUGAGACAGGUGCUGCAUGGCUGUCGUCAGCUCGUGUUGUGAAAUGUUGGGUUAAGUCCCGNAACGAGCGCAACCCUUAUCCUUUGUUGCCAGCGGUUCGGCCGGGAACUCAAAGGAGACUGCCGGUGAUAAACCGGAGGAAGGUGGGGAUGACGUCAAGUCAUCAUGGCCCUUACGGCCAGGGCUACACACGUGCUACAAUGGCGCAUACAAAGAGAAGCGACCUCGCGAGAGCAAGCGGACCUCAUAAAGUGCGUCGUAGUCCGGAUUGGAGUCUGCAACUCGACUCCAUGAAGUCGGAAUCGCUAGUAAUCGUAGAUCAGAAUGCUACGGUGAAUACGUUCCCGGGCCUUGUACACACCGCCCGUCACACCAUGGGAGUGGGUUGCAAAAGAAGUAGGUAGCUUAACCUUCGGGAGGACGCUUACCACUUUGUGAUUCAUGACUGGGGUGAAGUCGUAACAAGGUAGGCGUAGCGAG
Molecule: ribosomal RNA, 526 nt
Filed under: uncultured bacterium
Lineage: Bacteria
Description: bacterial SSU rRNA
Rfam family: Bacterial small subunit ribosomal RNA
Source: RNAcentral